Triticum urartu is the source of this 3335-nucleotide non-coding RNA. The record is from RefSeq and is a predicted model, not a curated record. Lineage: Eukaryota; Viridiplantae; Streptophyta; Magnoliopsida; Poales; Poaceae.
CACCCACGAAGAGCCACUGCCUACCCCGCAUCUUUCUUCUGCCCCGAUUCAACCGGCUCUCUUCUCCCCAAGAUUACAGCCCCGAUUGGAACGACUGGCGGCGGCAGAUCGGGGGAGGUCGCCCUACAGGCCGAGCUCGGAUCCACCCAAACAUCCAGCCCCGCGAGCACCCGGCCCUCUUCUCCCCCAACUGCAGCGACCCGUGACGCCAGAUUGAAGGAGGCUGCCCCGCUGCCGAGGUUGGACCCACCGCAUCAACCCGCCCAGUGAGCACCCGGCUCUCUUUUCCCCAGCGACCGAUGACUUUUCGGUGAUUUCCUCAUGCCGCCCUCCUCAUCCAGCCACCCCUUGGCGUUCAAUGAUUAGGGUUCAUGCAUACUAGUACUAAUCACCUCGCCCUUCUCUGCAAUUAGGAUUUGCUACAGCCUGCGAUGUUAAAAAGCCUGAACCUCCUGCUAGAUAACUUUACUUGAUAUCCUAUUAAUAGGUCCGUGUGCAAAACCGCAAUAGUGACCAUGGUUUUGCAUUUGUUAUAGCCUGCUAUUGUCAAAAGGGAUGAACCUGAAUAUAUGCUACUGUAGCACUGUUAGCCGUUAUGGAAAAGUUCAGUUAGGUAUGAGAUGUGUGGCCUUAGCUGGGAGAUUUCUUUUGCUUCCAUGUGCUUGUAUGGCUACUCUUGCAUUCAGAAGAAAAUUAUAUGUUAACCAUCUGAUGGUUGUACCCUGCUGUAAUGAAUAAAACUAGAUGCUCUUGAUCGUUGUAUGGUGUCAUAAUCAGAUGAACAUAAACACAUGAACUAAAGUAUGCAGCAUAUAAAAGGAGAACUAAUUACAAGCAGGAAGCAGUGCAUCCUUGUAUCCCUGUAUCUAUAUGUCAGGAUAAACUAGUUGCUUGAUGCAACCACUUUAUCUAUGUUAAAACGUGAAACUGAAUUCUAUGUUUGUGGUUCUGUUGUCCCAUAAAUAGUCCUUAACUAGUGCUGUCAAAACUGAAUAAAGACUGAGACUGCACUUGAUUUUGACUCCUUCAGGAGAUGCAUAGCUCUGUAUCAGUGUACUUUUGUCUACAGUACUAGUCAAAAGAGAACUAAACUUAAUCUUUGACAUGCCUCUCCUAAUUUAGCUACCCAUGAUGUUAAGCGUCUGAAGCCCACAAGCAUUUUCAGUACGCCCAGAACUUGAUAAAAGCAGAUACAUGGUAAACUUUAGUUUUUUUACUAUAUUCUGACAUACUAAGCUGGGUAAAAUCAACCUGCUCCUACUUUGCAAACAUACAACACCAUCCAUCGAGCCUUAAUUCUGAAAUAGUAGUAAACUUUCUGGUUUCUAAACUAUGCCAUACUAAGCUGACAUACUAAGCUGGGUAAAAUCAACCUGCUCCUACUUUGCAAACAUACAACACCAUCCAUCGAGCCUUAAUUCUGAAAUAGUAGUAAACUUUCUGGUUUCUAAACUAUGCCAUACUAAGCUGACAUACUAAGCUGGGUAAAAUCAACCUGCUCCUACUUUGCAAACAUACAACACCAUCCAUCGAGCCUUAAUUCUGAAAUAGUAGUAAACUUUCUGGUUUCUAAACUAUGCCAUACUAAGCUGACAUACUAAGCUGGGUAAAAUCAACCUGCUCCUACUUUGCAAACAUACAACACCAUCCAUCGAGCCUUAAUUCUGAAAUAGUAGUAAACUUUCUGGUUUCUAAACUAUGCCAUACUAAGCUGACAUACUAAGCUGGGUAAAAUCAACCUGCUCCUACUUUGCAAACAUACAACACCAUCCAUCGAGCCUUAAUUCUGAAAUAGUAGUAAACUUUCUGGUUUCUAAACUAUGCCAUACUAAGCUGACAUACUAAGCUGGGUAAAAUCAACCUGCUCCUACUUUGCAAACAUACAACACCAUCCAUCGAGCCUUAAUUCUGAAAUAGUAGUAAACUUUCUGGUUUCUAAACUAUGCCAUACUAAGCUGACAUACUAAGCUGGGUAAAAUCAACCUGCUCCUACUUUGCAAACAUACAACACCAUCCAUCGAGCCUUAAUUCUGAAAUAGUAGUAAACUUUCUGGUUUCUAAACUAUGCCAGUAGCUCCGGUAAUCAUAUAUUUUUGCUGUUUUUUAUUAUGAACAUUCUAGUCUUGUUUUUAUUGGCUUGCUGGCUGCUUCUCCCUGACUGUGACCCAGCUGCACCAUGCAUGUUGAUUUCUUUACUUGUUAGAUCCCAAUGCGUGAGAUCUUCAUUUUGUAUUUAUACAUUCUGACAUGAACUUCUUGUUGGCACUGCUGCCUGCUUACGAGUUAUGACUAUUUUACACAAUCUAGUUUCUUUUUGUCUACCACCAAUGCGAAGCCAACUUGUAAUAGCUAAAUCAGUCAGUUACGUUACAAGUACUCCUCCAUCAAUAUGCUUACUCAUAGUGCAAGCAAGAGUAAAUGUUUUCCAUUAAUUUCACUUUAACAAUUAGUUAUACACGAUAUUAGUGCAUCCCGUGCUUGCAUCCUAACUUAUCUACUUUAUUAUAUUCAUGUAAGCUCUAGGAAGGGGCUUUGAGAGAUGAAGGGGAAGCCACUCUUGCUAUGUCCAAAGCAAUGCUAAUAUAUCGUGUGGACUUACAUCUUGAAUAAUGUGUACAUCAGUGUGCAUUCACUGGCUUUAAUUAGGUCUUAUGUUUCCACUUUCAGCAAAAUUGAAAACGGCAAGUACAAUAAUCAGGAGCCAAGUCCCAUUGAGUUUUUCAAAGAGACCCAUACUAACAGCAUGAGCGAGCCGACACAUCUAGCUUAUAAUGCAAUGGAAAAGAAAAGGGAAACACAAUCAGAAGUGACAACCAGUGUUCGAUUCAAUGAUUGUGGCUGAAGUUCUAAAGGAAGAAAACGCCCAUAGCACCUUCCUUUCCAGCAUGAGUUAUGCAUCAAGAUCCGGGAGAUUUGGGAACUCUAAUUCAUCAGCAAGGAUCUGAGUUCUAGAAGAAAGAAUUGAGCAAAAGGAUAGAGAGGCGAGAGAUGCAAAUGACAGGCACUGAGAGGAGUUAGUGGUGAGACUUGAAGCACAAGCGAGAGCAUUUGAAGAGGUGUAGAGGAAGCAACACGAAUAAUUGGAAGAUGUGAAGAAGAUCGAGCAAGAGAAGAAUGAAGCAUGGCAAAAGAAGCAACAAGAGACGGAUAUCCUGAUUGGUUUUCUCUUAAGGGCUCAAGCAACUCAGCAAGCAACUUAGCAGUCCUAAUCCAAACUUAAUGGUGCAUGAAGGCCAUCCUUUUGCGAUGGAAAGAUAGUUGUUGAAUCAUACAUUGCAAUCAUCAGGAUAACACAUGUGGUCUUUACUUAUCUAAAUAUUGCUUUUCAACUUGUC